Molecule: ribosomal RNA, 786 nt
Filed under: Triticum aestivum (bread wheat)
Lineage: Eukaryota; Viridiplantae; Streptophyta; Magnoliopsida; Poales; Poaceae
Description: partial small subunit ribosomal RNA
Source: RNAcentral
AUGACCGAGACGACUCUCCGGUCAAUAACCAACAGCGGGAUCUGGAUACCCAUGUUGGCUCCCACAUGUUCCACGAUGAUCUCAUCGGAUGAACCACAAUGUCGAGGAUUCAAUCAAUCCCGUAUUCAAUUCCCUUUGUCAAUCGGUACGUUACUUGCCCGAGAUUCGAUCGUCGGGCAUAUUUCCAACAAUGUCAUGGAACACUUCUACGACAGCACGGUGAGCCGCAGUGCAGGAAUUUUUUGUUACUGGCAUCAGCCAGAUGGUGUUAAUGACACGAUGAUUGUGUUAAUCCCAAAAGUACCCCACCCUAAGGAACUGAAAGAUUUCCGCCCCAUAAGUCUGUGUAAUGUGGUGUACAAGAUCGUGUCUAAAUGCAUGGUGAACAGGCUACGGUCGCUCCUAUCUGAGCUUAUCUCUGAAAAUCAGAGUGCAUUCAUUCCAGGGAGGUUGAUCUUAGACAACUCCAUUAUUGCCUUCGAGUGCAUUCAUCAUAUCCAGUCAGUAAAGGAGAAUUCACAAGCCUUGUGUGCAUACAAACUUGAUCUGUCGAAGGCCUAUGACCGCGUUGAUUGGUUCUUCUUGGAAAGGGCGCUCUCUAAAUGGGGCUUCUCUGAUCAGUGGAUCUCUCGCGUUAUGGCAUGUGUCUCGUCAGUGAAGUAUUUUGUUAAAUUUAAUGGCAAACUAUUGGAGUCCUUCUCUCCCUCGAGAGGUCUACGCCAAGGUGAUCCUUUAUCCCCCCCUUUCUUUUCCUCUUUGUGGCUGACGCUCUAUCUAUCCUUCUGA